RNAcentral lists this ribosomal RNA (262 nucleotides) under uncultured archaeon. RNAcentral's name for it is "partial 16S ribosomal RNA". It matches the Rfam family "Archaeal small subunit ribosomal RNA", at positions 748 to 1008 of the family's 1478-position model. The record is from RNAcentral.
UAGCCGUAAACUAUGCGCGUUAGGUGUACUGGUGACCACGAGUCACCGGGGUGCCGAAGGGAAACCGUGAAACGUGCCGCCUGGGAAGUACGGUCGCAAGGCUGAAACUUAAAGGAAUUGGCGGGGGGAGCACCACAACGGGUGGAGCCUGCGGUUUAAUUGGAUUCAACACCGGAAACUACACCAGGGAGGACUGUUACAUGAAACCCAGACUAAUGAUCUUGGUUGAUUUCUAGAGAGGAGGUGCAUGGCGUCAGUGACU